RNAcentral lists this ribosomal RNA (749 nucleotides) under uncultured bacterium. Its description in RNAcentral is "bacterial SSU rRNA". It matches the Rfam family "Bacterial small subunit ribosomal RNA", at positions 68 to 789 of the family's 1533-position model. The record is from RNAcentral.
GAGAAAAGCCCCUUCGGGGGCCCAGUAAAGUGGCGCACGGGUGAGUAACACGUGGGUAAUCUACCCAAGGGUCCGGGACAACACUUCGAAAGAGGUGCUAAUACCGGAUAGGACCACGUCCUCUUCGGAGGAUGGGGUGAAAGGUGGCCUCUCCAUGGAAGCUAUCGCCCCUGGAUGAGCCCGCGUCCCAUCAGUUUGUUGGUGGGGUAAAGGCUCACCAAGGCUGAGACGGGUAGCUGGUCUGAGAGGAUGUCCAGCCACACUGGAACUGAGACACGGUCCAGACUCCUACGGGAGGCAGCAGUGGGGAAUAUUGCGCAAUGGGCGAAAGCCUGACGCAGCGACGCCGCGUGAGUGAUGAAGGCCUUCGGGUCGUAAAUCUCUGUCGGACGGGAACGAAAACGCGAAGGGAACAAUACCCCUUCGCUCUGACGGUACCUGUCCAGAAAGCACCGGCUAACUCCGUGCCAGCAGCCGCGGUAAUACGGAGGGUGCAAGCGUUGUUCGGAAUCAUUGGUCGUAAAGGGCGUGUAGGCGGGGUAGUAUGUCGGAUGUGAAAGCCCUCGGCUCAACCGAGGAACUGCGUCCGAAACUGCUACUCUUGAGUACGGGAGAGGGAAGCGGAAUUUCCAGUGUAGAGGUGAAAUUCGUAGAUAUUGGAAGGAACACCGGUGGCGAAGGCGGCUUCCUGGACCGAUACUGACGCUGAGACGCGAAAGCGUGGGGAGCAAACAGGAUUAGAUACCCUG